RNAcentral lists this ribosomal RNA (1332 nucleotides) under Microbacterium sp. HW04-02. RNAcentral describes it as "bacterial SSU rRNA". It matches the Rfam family "Bacterial small subunit ribosomal RNA", at positions 96 to 1440 of the family's 1533-position model. Lineage: Bacteria; Bacillati; Actinomycetota; Actinomycetes; Micrococcales; Microbacteriaceae. The record is from RNAcentral.
UGGCGAACGGGUGAGUAACACGUGAGCAACCUGCCCCUGACUCUGGGAUAAGCGCUGGAAACGGCGUCUAAUACUGGAUACGAACCACGAAGGCAUCUUCAGUGGUUGGAAAGAAUUUCGGUUGGGGAUGGGCUCGCGGCCUAUCAGCUUGUUGGUGAGGUAAUGGCUCACCAAGGCGUCGACGGGUAGCCGGCCUGAGAGGGUGACCGGCCACACUGGGACUGAGACACGGCCCAGACUCCUACGGGAGGCAGCAGUGGGGAAUAUUGCACAAUGGGCGCAAGCCUGAUGCAGCAACGCCGCGUGAGGGAUGACGGCCUUCGGGUUGUAAACCUCUUUUAGCAGGGAAGAAGCGAAAGUGACGGUACCUGCAGAAAAAGCGCCGGCUAACUACGUGCCAGCAGCCGCGGUAAUACGUAGGGCGCAAGCGUUAUCCGGAAUUAUUGGGCGUAAAGAGCUCGUAGGCGGUUUGUCGCGUCUGCUGUGAAAUCCGGAGGCUCAACCUCCGGCCUGCAGUGGGUACGGGCAGACUAGAGUGCGGUAGGGGAGAUUGGAAUUCCUGGUGUAGCGGUGGAAUGCGCAGAUAUCAGGAGGAACACCGAUGGCGAAGGCAGAUCUCUGGGCCGUAACUGACGCUGAGGAGCGAAAGGGUGGGGAGCAAACAGGCUUAGAUACCCUGGUAGUCCACCCCGUAAACGUUGGGAACUAGUUGUGGGGUCCAUUCCACGGAUUCCGUGACGCAGCUAACGCAUUAAGUUCCCCGCCUGGGGAGUACGGCCGCAAGGCUAAAACUCAAAGGAAUUGACGGGGACCCGCACAAGCGGCGGAGCAUGCGGAUUAAUUCGAUGCAACGCGAAGAACCUUACCAAGGCUUGACAUAUACGAGAACGGGCCAGAAAUGGUCAACUCUUUGGACACUCGUAAACAGGUGGUGCAUGGUUGUCGUCAGCUCGUGUCGUGAGAUGUUGGGUUAAGUCCCGCAACGAGCGCAACCCUCGUUCUAUGUUGCCAGCACGUAAUGGUGGGAACUCAUGGGAUACUGCCGGGGUCAACUCGGAGGAAGGUGGGGAUGACGUCAAAUCAUCAUGCCCCUUAUGUCUUGGGCUUCACGCAUGCUACAAUGGCCGGUACAAAGGGCUGCAAUACCGCGAGGUGGAGCGAAUCCCAAAAAGCCGGUCCCAGUUCGGAUUGAGGUCUGCAACUCGACCUCAUGAAGUCGGAGUCGCUAGUAAUCGCAGAUCAGCAACGCUGCGGUGAAUACGUUCCCGGGUCUUGUACACACCGCCCGUCAAGUCAUGAAAGUCGGUAACACCUGAAGCCGGUGGCCUAACC